Molecule: ribosomal RNA, 165 nt
Filed under: Sclerococcales sp.
Lineage: Eukaryota; Fungi; Ascomycota; Eurotiomycetes; Sclerococcales
Description: partial large subunit ribosomal RNA
Rfam family: Eukaryotic large subunit ribosomal RNA
Source: RNAcentral
CGGCAACAGCUCAAAUUUGAAAUCUGGCUCUUUCAGGGUCCGAGUUGUAAUUUGUAGAGGAUGUUUCGGGUAAGAUCUAGGUCUAAGUUCCUUGGAACAGGACGUCAUAGAGGGUGAGAAUCCCGUACGUGACCGAGGAUCGCACCCAUGUGAAACUCCUUCGAC